AUCUUUCAGCAGUGGCAGUAUCGUAGCCAAUGAGGUCCAACCGAGGUGUGAUUGUUGCUAAUUGC
This 65-nucleotide small nuclear RNA is filed under the name Xenopus tropicalis (tropical clawed frog). RNAcentral's name for it is "Xenopus (Silurana) tropicalis (western clawed frog) U4 spliceosomal RNA". It matches the Rfam family "U4 spliceosomal RNA", at positions 1 to 65 of the family's 138-position model. From Rfam's summary of the family: U4 small nuclear RNA (U4 snRNA) is a component of the major U2-dependent spliceosome. The record is from Rfam by way of RNAcentral. Lineage: Eukaryota; Metazoa; Chordata; Amphibia; Anura; Pipidae.